AGGAUCAUUAUCAUGCAACUCAGUCAUGCUACCGUGUGAACUGUACAAAUCCACUCUGUGUACCUCUCCUGUUGCUUCCGCUGGGCCUGGGGCAUUUCAGAUGAGUUGUCUCUCUCCUGCAGUCAAUAGCUAUGGAGGGGUUGGUGACUCUCUGUGGCUGCUCUGGAUUCACAUGCCCAGCGGGAGAAUACUUAAUUUCUGGAUUUACUAUUCCAUCUGUCUGAACUAUGAAUUAAAAAAAAUGUUAAAACUUUCAGCAACGGAUCUCUUGGUUCUCGCAUCGAUGAAGAACGCAGCGAAAUGCGAUAAGUAGUGUGAAUUGCAGAAUUCAGUGAAUCAUCGAAUCUUUGAACGCACAUUGCGCCUUUCGGCAUUCCGGAGGGCAUGCCUGUUCGAGAGUCAUUAACAACCAGUUCAAUCCCCUUUAACAUAUUUGGGGGGGUUGGUUGUUGGUGGAUGAGGGGAUGCAUGCUUCAUGUUCCCAUCUCCUCACCAUCGAAAUUCAGAGGCGGUUUGUCCCCACGUGUUUGUGGCGUUGUAAAGUGUCACCAGCACUAUUCGCACGCAUUGUGGGUGCGCAUGGCUUGCCAUAGGAGAAAUCCCCAUUCAUCAAAGGUUGACCUCGGAUCAGGUAGGGAUACCCGCUGAACUUAAGCAUAUCAAUAAGCGGAGGAAAAGAAACCAACUGGGAUUGCCUCAGUAACUGCGAGUGAAGUGGCAAAAGCUCAAAUUUGAAAUCCGGUGCCUCUGGUACCCGAGUUGUAAUUUGGAGAGACAAAUCUUGUGGAUGGCGCCGGCCUAGGUUCCUUGGAAGAGGACAACACAGAGGGUGAGAAUCCCGUGCAUGGCUGGACUGCGGUCACGUAAUAGACUGUCUUCGACGAGUCGAGUUGUUUGGGAAUGCAGCUCAAAAUGGGUGGUAAAUGUCAUCUAAAGCUAAAUAUUGGCGAGAGACCGAUAGCGCACAAGUAGAGUGAUCGAAAGAUGAAAAGCACUUUGAAAAGAGAGUCAAAAAGUACGUGAAAUUGCUGAAAGGGAAGCGCUUGAGAUCAGACUCGAGCCGUGGUGAUCAGUUGUGCUUCUGCACGGUGUCACUUGCCACGGUUUGGGCCAGCAUCGGUUCCGGCGGCUGGAUAAAAGGUUUGGGAAUGUAGCUUCCUUCGGGGAGUGUUAUAGCCCUCAUCACAAUGCAGCCAGCUGGGAUCGAG
Molecule: ribosomal RNA, 1208 nt
Filed under: uncultured Genea
Lineage: Eukaryota; Fungi; Ascomycota; Pezizomycetes; Pezizales; Pyronemataceae
Description: eukaryotic LSU rRNA
Rfam family: Eukaryotic large subunit ribosomal RNA (bases 618-1208)
Source: RNAcentral